AUAUGAAGAUAUCAAAUAACAAAUAUAUUUUUAUAAAAUUUGUGUUAUCAAAUUUGUCUUUCCAAAAGUCCUCCCGUCUACACAUAUAUCCUUAAUUCCUUAUGUUACUAAAAUUUAGAUAACCAUAAAUUUUUUUUCUUUGAGAGAGAUAGAUAACACGCUACCCGCUUCGUUUAUUUUAUUUAAAAAUAAACUUAGCUGGAAAUGUGAAUCAACUAGGAUUCGAACUUGGGACGUCGGGUACCAACCAUCAAACACUUUACCACUCGCUCUAGGAACGGUCGGUAUAACUGUGAGUUAAAAAAGCUAACCACAUAUAGCUAAGGGAUAAAAUAAUUUUUUUACUAUUUAUAUAUAUAAUUUGUAUUUCAAUGUUGAGUUUCGUCGUCUUUUUCAUCAUCUUCUCUUUAUCCAUAGCGACGGAAAAAUUUACGACAGCGGCAACAUCGAAGACGAGGCCCUCAAUUGCAGCAAAAAUGAGAUAUGCUGCAUGUGCUGCCGCGAAGGCGGGGAGAGAGAAAAAAAAAAUAGUUUUUUGUAUAGACAAAUUUAUAAGGACAAUAUAGUCAAUUUGUGCACCCACCGUUAAUGCAUAAACUAGCGGUAAAUCAAACGACAGGAAUAUAUAUGAACGAAUUAGAACUUUUGGAUAGAUAUAUUUACAAAUUAGAGAAAUUUUUAAAGAAUAGAUCUGAUCAUUUAAGUUUUGUAGAAAUUUUUAUGCUAUAUUAUACUUUUAUAUGGACUGAUAUAAAAUUAAC
This 761-nucleotide long non-coding RNA is filed under the name Ananas comosus (pineapple). Its description in RNAcentral is "long non-coding RNA (ACOM_LNC006403)". The record is from RNAcentral. Lineage: Eukaryota; Viridiplantae; Streptophyta; Magnoliopsida; Poales; Bromeliaceae.